AUAGUUUUAUUUUCAUUUUCAGUUUUACUUCAGAGCCACAUAUAUAUAUCUAAAGAGCUACAUGUAGCUCACAAGAUGCAGUUUGCCAACUCCUGUUAUAUGAUAUACAUUGGUUUUGUUUUUAGGCUUACUAUAAGUAUAAGUGGAAUUGAGAGAAUUUUGUUAUCUUAGAAUUAUUUGAUGAUGAUGGAGAUUUUACAGCAAAAUUCAAGAUUGUCAAUAGAUGAGGAGAGAAGAAAUAUGAAUAUGUCCAAGGCCAUGUGAAUUGAGAUGCAUUGGAUGUCCAUACCAAACUAAUUCAUCUGGAAUUUUAUAAGAUAUAAAAAUAUUUAAUAAAAGAAAUCGUACAUAUUUAAUACUCUCUAAAAAUAAAUUCCUCUGUCAGGAUCUCCUAAGUACAUGGCAUUGUUCUGAAUGGUUACUUUAACUAGUGUGUUGCAACUAUAUAGUCCCAUUUGCAGAUUAUGCUUUUACCUCUCAUCUUUGGCAUUAUUCUUCUGUAUUUAGAACUAGUCAAAAUUUAUAGUUGUAGUAUGUUGGUGAUAUUUAUAUCGUCCUGAUAUUUUCCCUCAUAGGAAAUUGGAGAUUUGAAAGAUUAGUUUCUAUUUAUACUAACCACAUUGCUUUACUAUCUUGCUAGGAUUUUAUCUGUAUAAAUGUUUAACAUACUGCUGACCUGACCCAUGUUUAAAACAGUGUGGUCAGUUUGUUCUUCUCUCAAGUCUUUUUUAAGACAGGCAAACAAAUUAAAUUCAAUGUUUAUUUCUGAAUUUAAUGUAUGCAUAACUUUUUAUUGCAUAACAUGUGACUUCAUAUUAAUACAAACUCUGCUUUGGUAUUUCGGUAAAAACUAUAAAAAGUUGGGCACUUGGCAGCAGAGACGGGUGAG
RNAcentral lists this long non-coding RNA (889 nucleotides) under Androctonus crassicauda. Lineage: Eukaryota; Metazoa; Arthropoda; Arachnida; Scorpiones; Buthidae. The record is from RNAcentral.